GGGUCAGUAGGUUGGUCGUGCCACCGGUACGUACUGGUCUCACUGACUCCUCCUUCCUGAAGAACCGUAAUGCCAUUAAUUUGGUGUUGCGGGGAAACAGGACUGUUACUUUGAAAAAAUUAGAGUGUUUAAAGCAAGCUAACGCUUGAAUACAUUAGCAUGGAAUAAUGAAAUAGGACGAUCGAUCCUAUUUUGUUGGUUUCUAGGAUUGACGUA
Molecule: ribosomal RNA, 216 nt
Filed under: Glomeromycotina sp.
Lineage: Eukaryota; Fungi; Glomeromycota
Description: partial small subunit ribosomal RNA
Rfam family: Eukaryotic small subunit ribosomal RNA (bases 54-216)
Source: RNAcentral